RNAcentral lists this ribosomal RNA (551 nucleotides) under uncultured bacterium. RNAcentral describes it as "bacterial SSU rRNA". It matches the Rfam family "Bacterial small subunit ribosomal RNA", at positions 355 to 896 of the family's 1533-position model. The record is from RNAcentral.
UAGGGAAUCUUCGGCAAUGGACGGAANNNUGGACCGAGCAACCNCGGCGUGAGUGAAGAAGGUUUUCGGAUCGUAAAGCUCUGUUGUAAGAGAAGAACGAGUGUGAGAGUGGAAAGUUCACACUGUGACGGUAUCUUACCAGAAAGGGACGGCUAACUACGUGCCAGCAGCCGCGGUAAUACGUAGGUCCCGAGCGUUGUCCGGAUUUAUUGGGCGUAAAGCGAGCGCAGGCGGUUAGAUAAGUCUGAAGUUAAAGGCUGUGGCUUAACCAUAGUACGCUUUGGAAACUGUUUAACUUGAGUGCAAGAGGGGAGAGUGGAAUUCCAUGUGUAGCGGUGAAAUGCGUAGAUAUAUGGAGGAACACCGGUGGCGAAAGCGGCUCUCUGGCUUGUAACUGACGCUGAGGCUCGAAAGCGUGGGGAGCAAACAGGAUUAGAUACCCUGGUAGUCCACGCCGUAAACGAUGAGUGCUAGGUGUUAGACCCUUUCCGGGGUUUAGUGCCGCAGCUAACGCAUUAAGCACUCCGCCUGGGGAGUACGACCGCAAGUUG